GAUGAACGCUAGCGGCAGGCCUAACACAUGCAAGGUCGAGGGGCAUCAUGGCGUAGCAAUACGCUGAUGGCGACCGGCGCACGGGUGCGUAACGCGUAUGGAACCUACCCACCGCAGGGGGAUAACCCGCCGAAAGGCGGACUAAUACCCCAUGGUUCCCCGACCCUGCCUGGGGUUGGGGGUAAAGCCUACGGGCGGCGGUGGAUGGCCCUGCGUGCCAUUAGCUGGCUGGUGGGGUAACGGCCCACCAGGGCGACGAUGGCUAGGGGGUCUGAGAGGACGAUCCCCCCACACUGGUACUGAGACACGGACCAGACUCCUACGGGAGGCAGCAGUUGGGAAUCUUAGGCAAUGGACGAAAGUCUGACCUAGCGACGCCGCGUGAGGGAAGAAGGCCUUCGGGUUGUAAACCUCUGUCAUGGGGGAAGAAGGAAGUGACGGUACCCCAAGAGGAAGCCCCUGCUAACUACGUG
RNAcentral lists this ribosomal RNA (473 nucleotides) under uncultured bacterium. RNAcentral's name for it is "bacterial SSU rRNA". It matches the Rfam family "Bacterial small subunit ribosomal RNA", at positions 28 to 507 of the family's 1533-position model. The record is from RNAcentral.